This 389-nucleotide ribosomal RNA is filed under the name uncultured bacterium. RNAcentral's name for it is "bacterial SSU rRNA". It matches the Rfam family "Bacterial small subunit ribosomal RNA", at positions 29 to 417 of the family's 1533-position model. The record is from RNAcentral.
AUUGAACGCUGGCGGAAUGCUUUACACAUGCAAGUCGAGCGGCAGCGCGGGGGCAACCCUGGCGGCGAGCGGCGAACGGGUGAGUAAUACAUCGGAACGUGUCCUUAAGUGGGGGAUAGCUCGGCGAAAGCCGGAUUAAUACCGCAUAAGCUCUGAGGAGGAAAGCGGGGGCUCCGUAAGGACCUCGCGCUGUUGGAGCGGCCGAUGUCGGAUUAGCUAGUUGGUGGGGUAAAGGCCCACCAAGGCGACGAUCCGUAGCUGGUCUGAGAGGAUGAUCAGCCACACUGGAACUGAGACACGGUCCAGACUCCUACGGGAGGCAGCAGUGGGGAAUUUUGGACAAUGGGGGCAACCCCGAUCCAGCCAUUCCGCGUGAGUGAAGAAGGCCU